AACGAACGCUGGCGGCAUGCCUAACACAUGCAAGUCGAACGAGAUCUUCGGGUCUAGUGGCGCACGGGUGCGUAACGCGUGGGAAUCUGCCCUUUGGUUCGGAAUAACAGUUGGAAACGACUGCUAAUACCGGAUGAUGACGAAAGUCCAAAGAUUUAUCGCCAGAGGAUGACCCCGCGUAGGAUUAGCUAGUUGGUGUGGUAAAGGCGCACCAAGGCGACGAUCCUUAGCUGGUCUGAGAGGAUGAUCAGCCACACUGGGACUGAGACACGGCCCAGACUCCUACGGGAGGCAGCAGUGGGGAAUAUUGGACAAUGGGCGAAAGCCUGAUCCAGCAAUGCCGCGUGAGUGAUGAAGGCCUUAGGGUUGUAAAGCUCUUUUACCCGGGAUGAUAAUGACAGUACCGGGAGAAUAAGCUCCGGCUAACUCCGUGCCAGCAGCCGCGGUAAUACGGAGGGAGCUAGCGUUGUUCGGAAUUACUGGGCGUAAAGCGCACGUAGGCGGCUUUGUAAGUUAGAGGUGAAAGCCUGGAGCUCAACUCCAGAACUGCCUUUAAGACUGCAUCGCUUGAAUCCAGGA
This 579-nucleotide ribosomal RNA is filed under the name uncultured bacterium. RNAcentral describes it as "bacterial SSU rRNA". It matches the Rfam family "Bacterial small subunit ribosomal RNA", at positions 28 to 653 of the family's 1533-position model. The record is from RNAcentral.